RNAcentral lists this ribosomal RNA (370 nucleotides) under uncultured eukaryote. Its description in RNAcentral is "partial 18S ribosomal RNA". It matches the Rfam family "Eukaryotic small subunit ribosomal RNA", at positions 592 to 976 of the family's 1831-position model. The record is from RNAcentral.
CAAUAGCGUAUAUUAAAGUUGUUGCAGUUAAAAAGCUCGUAGUUGAACCUUGGACCUGGACAGGCGGUCCGCCUCACGGCGUGUACUGUCUUGCUGGGUCUUUCCUCUUGGUGAUCUGUUGUUUCGGCAGCAGGGAACCAGGACUUUUACUUUGAAAAAAUUAGAGUGUUCAAAGCAGGCUCGACGCCGGAAUAUAUUAGCAUGGAAUAAUAAAAUAGGACGUGCGGUUCUAUUUUGUUGGUUUUUGGAAUCGCCGUAAUGAUUAAUAGGGACAGUCGGGGGCAUUAGUACUCACAUGCUAGAGGUGAAAUUCUUGGAUUUUGUGAAGACUAACUUCUGCGAAAGCAUUUGCCAAGGAUGUUUUCAUUAA